Molecule: long non-coding RNA, 2805 nt
Filed under: Lynx pardinus (Iberian lynx)
Lineage: Eukaryota; Metazoa; Chordata; Mammalia; Carnivora; Felidae
Source: RNAcentral
UGUGUUUUCCAAAGACAAACACACACAUAGAGCAACAAGCAAGCUGGGCUUUGCUGGAAACACAGCUUAUUCACAGAGUGAAGCUUGGCUAAAAUUCAAUCUUAUAAUAUUCAGAAAGUUCAAAGUUUCCAGUUUAAUGCAUAGAAAGUAAGAAAUUUUGAAAAGCAUUUGAAAAAUUAUCUCUCCAUUCUGAAGGCUCAGAUUUCACAUUGUGAAAGGCAAAACUUUCGCAUCGCAAUUGCAGCAAAACAGAGCCUUCUGAUUUGCUGGCUGCUUCAAAUAACAGUUGUCCCUUUGAUAGUAUUGACACCUAUCUCCUUUCACAAUCUAGUGCUUCUCCUGCACUUUGUAACAUAUCCCAUCUGUUUUUUAGGGCCCCUGUCAUAAGGAAACCUGGGAGAGCGAAGAAAGGCCUGAUUGAUCACAAGGUCCUAUCAAAUGUCAAAGCUGGCCCUGGCUGACCUCCCAUCUAUUCAGAGCUGCUUUGAUUUAAUCUCCAAACUGGCUGCUUCUCUAGGCUGUGAGUUCUGUCUGCAACCCAUGUGUCAGCAUUGAGAUAUGACCUGCUUCACGCUCCAUUCAUCUCAUUUGAAGGACGGAAAUUAAACUGGAGGGUCGAAGAGGGGAACUGCUCAAAAUACACACACAUUAACUGAAGGCUUUUGUGUGGGUGCAUUAUGAGUUUGAACAACCAUUAAAAAUUAUAUUAAAAUGAAAUUGAUCUUUACUCCACUGAAAUGGUUUAGAACUUUGCCCCCCUCCCACUACCCUCUCAUCUAUUCUUUCUUAUAGUAAUCAGGUGAUCCUGAUCUCAUUAAGGUUCAAAGUAAAGGAGAGAGAAAUUUACAAAUUUUCAGUUUGUUUUAAAAGGUGUCCUUUAGAAAAUUAACUUAUUGCCUGUGAUUUGCACAGUAAAUAUUUGAAAAAAAAAUAGAGAUCCUAAAAGCUGAUAACCAGACUAACAGAAAUGUAGACUGCUAUGUUUAGCACUAUUGAUUAAAGUAAGUUUUACUUUCCAAGGUUUUUUUUUUUUUUAAACUCAUUUAAAAUUCAAACUUUGGGAAUAGUCCUCUAACUAUCCUGACACGUAGCUGUAGUAUAAAUCUAUGUAUCCUUGGUUCCAUUAUUUCUUUCUCAACUUGCCUUGCUCUUUUUAUUGGCCCUUUUACACUAUUAAGCAAGGUUAGUAACUACUGAAAGCUUGAUUUCUUACAGAUUUGUUUGUUAUAAUCUCAAAAGUAAACUCUAUUUCAUCUACUAGUGGUGUUCCAAAAUUAUGACUUAGGAUAAUAAUAUUCCAAAUGUGUUUGGAAAGGGAGUUAUAUUUAUUUCUACACGUAUUCAUUAGCUCAUACAUUCGUGCACUUGUUAUUUGAACUUUCUACUAUAACGAUACCCAGGUAGGGAAAAUGCCUUCUAUUCUUUAUUUAUAAAGUGUAUUGCACGUUUCCUGUUAUAAUAGUAGUGUAUAUCCACUAUCAAUAAACAAUCAACAAAGACAGAUGAGGAGAGAGAAUGAGACAGAGACAGAGAGACAGAGAGAGAAGGACAGACAGUAUACUAACACUUUUUAUUUUCCUUUGUGGAAUCACAUUGUUCCUUUUUGGGAGAAGACUACACUUUCAGUUGUUUUGGUCACCCCCCUUUAUGUAUAUAUAAUAUCAUUUUGUAUGGAAGUGAUGAUUUUAUUUUGUUAAUAUUUUCCUGAAGACCAUUUAAGUUUAAAAAAAAAUUUGCCACUAUAAAUGUUAUUAUAUAAAAAUAUUUUUAUGCUUCCAUGAUUUUCUCCAAAAUUCUCUAAUAUGAAAAUAGGCUGUGCCCAAUUUACUAUUUUCAGUCAAAAGUGUUAUCUUUUCUUUUACAGUUCUUCAUUUGAAUAUUCACUUGGAAAUAACUUUCCUUCCUAAAUGAUCAUAUGUGUUUUCUUUAGUAUAUAUUAUUUACUUGUUUUAUAUUUAAUAUGUGUAAGAGAAUGAAUACUAUAGUGAAUAUUCAUGUUAUUUCUACAUAAACCAUUUCACAGGACUUAUGGAAAAGAUUUCAAAUCUAGUUAUAUGGAGGAAAAGAUUCUGAGCAUCUGAGGCAUUCAAAGAAUGCCACUUAAGCAUUUAGUUUGCAAGCAGGAAAGCAGAAGAACACAAUAUGAUUGUAUCUCUCUUGUACUGCUUCUCAGUAAAAUCUCUCUUCCUGCAUAUCCUUAUGUAAAUAUCUUAUUACUCAAGGCAGAAUGUAUUAAAAAAUGCAUUUUGCAAUUUAAUUCAUUCCUUACAGUGCCAGGUGGGAAGCUGAUUCUUUGUUUUAAUGUGAUACUUUGCAAUAGAGCUUUUUGCAAUGAUGGAAAUGUUCUAUAUUUGCACUGUUCAAUAUGGUGGCCACUGGCUACAUGUGGCUACUGAACAUGUGAAAUGUAGUUACCGCAACUGAGGAAAUGGAUAAUUGUAUGUAAUUUAAAUUGUGGCCAGUGGCUCUCUUAUUGAACAAUACAGCUUUGGUAGUUUUGCCAUUAUUUAAAGUAUGACAAUAGUUUGUUAAACAUUGUAGAUGUUUACCCAGUUAUUCAAGUUCAUUUCAUUAAAGAAUAAGUAUUAGAUGGUGAGAAACUAAUAGUCCUGGAAUAAAAUAAUAAGAAGAAAGAUAAAGCCUACUUGUGCCCUGAAAGACAUUUUUCGCGUUUUCUUUCAGAGAAGAAGAUUCAAAGUUUCAAUAAAGAAAGGUGAUGAUAAUGUCUUCCUGGAACCCUUGGCUAAGAUGGAUUGGCAAAGAAUAAAAUGAUCUAGGUUCUAAAAUUUGGCUUUGAUACUAACC